CGGCAUGCCUAACACAUGCAAGUCGAACGAGACCUUCGGGUCUAGUGGCGCACGGGUGCGUAACGCGUGGGAAUCUGCCCUUUGCUUCGGAAUAACAGUUAGAAAUGACUGCUAAUACCGGAUGAUGUCUUCGGACCAAAGAUUUAUCGGCAAAGGAUGAGCCCGCGUAGGAUUAGGUAGUUGGUGGGGUAAAGGCCUACCAAGCCGACGAUCCUUAGCUGGUCUGAGAGGAUGAUCAGCCACACUGGGACUGAGACACGGCCCAGACUCCUACGGGAGGCAGCAGUGGGGAAUAUUGGACAAUGGGCGAAAGCCUGAUCCAGCAAUGCCGCGUGAGUGAUGAAGGCCUUCGGGUCGUAAAGCUCUUUUACCAGGGAUGAUAAUGACAGUACCUGGAGAAUAAGCUCCGGCUAACUCCGUGCCAGCAGCCGCGGUAAUACGGAGGGAGCUAGCGUUGUUCGGAAUUACUGGGCGUAAAGAGUACGUAGGCGGCUAUUCAAGUCAGAGGUGAAAGCCCGGGGCUCAACCCCGGAACUGCCUUUGAAACUAGGUAGCUAGAAUCUUGGAGAGGUCAGUGGAAUUCCGAGUGUAGAGGUGAAAUUCGUAGAUAUUCGGAAGAACACCAGUGGCGAAGGCGACUGACUGGACAAGUAUUGACGCUGAGGUACGAAAGCGU
RNAcentral lists this ribosomal RNA (676 nucleotides) under uncultured Alphaproteobacteria bacterium. RNAcentral's name for it is "bacterial SSU rRNA". It matches the Rfam family "Bacterial small subunit ribosomal RNA", at positions 40 to 762 of the family's 1533-position model. Lineage: Bacteria; Pseudomonadati; Pseudomonadota; Alphaproteobacteria. The record is from RNAcentral.